This 552-nucleotide long non-coding RNA is filed under the name Homo sapiens (human). RNAcentral describes it as "HSALNT0093312". The record is from RNAcentral. Lineage: Eukaryota; Metazoa; Chordata; Mammalia; Primates; Hominidae.
CCGAGAUUGCAGUCUCUGCCCGGCCGCCACCCCGUCUGGGAAGUGAGAAGCGUCUCUGCCUGGCCGCCCAUCGUCUGGGAUGUGAGGAGCCCCUCUGCCCGGCUGCCCAGUCUGGGAAGUGAGGAGCGCCUCCUCCCGGCCACCAUCCCGUCCAGGAAGUGAGGAGCGUCUCUGCCCGGCCGCCCAUCGUCUGAGAUGUGGGGAGCUCCUCUGCCCCGCCGCCCUGUCUGGGAUGUGAGGAGCGCCUCUGCCCGGCCGCGACCCCGUCUGGGAACUGAUGAGUGUCUCUGCCCGAUCGCCACCCCAUCUGGGAGAGGAAAGGCCAUGUAAGGACAGAGCAAACAGGCAACUGUCUGCAAACCAGGAAGAGAGGCCUCACCAGAUAUCAACCUUCAUGGCACCUUGAUCUUGAUCUUUCCAGACUAUCAAGAAGAGAAUUCACGCAAAGCCAUGGAUUAGUCUGGGUUAAUGCCAUGAAUUGAAGAGGCUUCCCUUCUGAAAUAUUGCAUGGGAUCAGAGGGGUUUCUUACCUCGGACACCAAGUGUCACUAC